This 1182-nucleotide long non-coding RNA is filed under the name Oncorhynchus mykiss (rainbow trout). RNAcentral's name for it is "lncRNA (ENSOMYG00000015794.2)". The stretch from base 991 to 1044 matches the Rfam family "UnaL2 LINE 3' element". Lineage: Eukaryota; Metazoa; Chordata; Actinopteri; Salmoniformes; Salmonidae. The record is from RNAcentral.
AUGGCACUGCAUAAGGACUACAUCUGUGAGGACACGGCCGCUGAAGGGUUGUGGGGACGACGGGGCGGAGCGCACUCAGCUCCUGCUCAGCUGCAGCACCACCGACCCCACUGGAACACUCAGCUCCUGCUCAGCUGCAGCACCACCAACCCCACUGGAACACUCAGCUCCUGCUCAGCUGCAGCACCACCGACCCCACUGGAACACUCAGCUCCUGCUCAGCUGCAGCACCACCGACCCCACUGGAACACUCAGCUCCUGCUCAGCUGCAGCACCACCGACCCCACUAGAACACUCAGCUCCUGCUCAGCUGCAGCACCACCGACCCCACUGGAACACUCAGCUCCUGCUCAGCUGCAGCACCACCGACCCCACUGGAACACUCAGCUCCUGCUCAGCUGCAGCACCACCGACCCCACUAGAACACUCAGCUCCUGCUCAGCUGCAGCACCACCGACCCCACUGGAACACUCAGCUCCUGCUCAGCUGCAGCACCACCGACCCCACUAGAACACUCAGCUCCUGCUCAGCUGCAGCACCACUGCGCUAUGUGUUAAGACAUAUUACUACUCAAUUCAACUUGCCAACAAAUCUACAAUCACAUAAUCUGGACUGAUAUAGGAAAGGCAUAUGAUCCAUACUGUACUUUCUCAGCCAAUACAAAAAAGUUCCCAUUGUGUGUUUGCAUCUUUAUUUCCAUCUAACUUUGAUUUAAACAGGACUUUAAGGUCUUGACUGUUUCACAGCUGGUUAGAGUGGUCAGGUGUUGAAAUGAUUUAUACGUAGAAUUGGAGAGCUUUGAGACUCUGAUAUUCAGUUUUAGCAGGUUUUUUCCAUUACAACAUAACCUGUGUUAUACUGUGUCAUAUCCAUGUUAUUAAGCACUGUACAUGUCCCAUGUAGCUCAGUUAGUAGAGCAUGGCGCUUGCAAUGCCAGGGUUGUGGGUCUGAUUCCCAUGGGGGACCCGUACGAACAAGUAUGAAUAUGUAUGUACUCACUACUGUAAUUCGCUCUGGAUAAGAACAUCUGCUAAAUGACUAAAAUGUUAUGUAAAUAUAAUAAUCUAGCACUCAUCUGCAGUACUUUUCUGAGAAGAACCUGUAUAUUAAUACAACUUCACAUUCACGCAUUAUUCAUAACAAGUGUAAAAUGAGCCCUGUCCAGAAAAAUUACAUUUUAAU